This 119-nucleotide non-coding RNA is filed under the name human gut metagenome. RNAcentral describes it as "yjdF RNA". It matches the Rfam family "azaaromatic riboswitch aptamer (yjdF RNA)", at positions 5 to 92 of the family's 101-position model. The record is from RNAcentral.
GCAGAGAUAAAAACGCAACGUACACCGCAAGGUGUGCCAGAGCCGGUAGGUAGCCCGGCCGUCCUGAAUGCUUCAGGGUAAGUAACCUUCCCUCCUGGGUCGUCCCUUCUCUGCUCAUA